RNAcentral lists this ribosomal RNA (506 nucleotides) under uncultured bacterium. RNAcentral describes it as "bacterial SSU rRNA". It matches the Rfam family "Bacterial small subunit ribosomal RNA", at positions 27 to 518 of the family's 1533-position model. The record is from RNAcentral.
GGAUAAACGCUGGCGGCGUGCUUAACACAUGCAAGUCGAACGGAGUACUUCUCCCGAGACCGAGGAAGCUUGCUCCAAAGAAUCAUUUGAAGUACUUAGUGGCGGACGGGUGAGUAACGCGUGGGUAACCUGCCUCACACAGGGGGAUAACAGUUGGAAACGACUGUUAAUACCGCAUAAGCGCACAGUACCGCAUGGUACAGUGUGAAAAAACUCCGGUGGUGUGAGAUGGACCCGCGUCUGAUUAGCUAGUUGGUGAGGUAACGGCCCACCAAGGCGACGAUCAGUAGCCGGCCUGAGAGGGUGUACGGCCACAUUGGGACUGAGACACGGCCCAAACUCCUACGGGAGGCAGCAGUGGGGAAUAUUGCACAAUGGGGGAAACCCUGAUGCAGCGAACCGCCGCGUGAGUGAUGAAGUAUUUCGGUAUGUAAAACUCUAUCAGCAGGGAAGAUAAUGACGGUACCUGACUAAGAAGCACCGGCUAAAUACGUGCCAGCCGCUGC